AUUGUGUGUCAACACCUUCCUGGGCUUCUUUCAGAUUCAAAUGUAACAGAGCAACACAACACCUCCCCAAUGGAGCCCAGAAGGCAUACUCCAGAAAAUGCCACCUCAACCUCACCGCCACCAUACCCACCCACUCCCCACUGCCACCCUUAACCCCAACCUCACCCCAAUCGAAACCCAAACCACCCACUCCCCACCGCCACCCUAAACCUCAACCCCGCCGCCACCCUAAACCUCAAACCCCCCAAUAUGAGUUUAUGAGAGAAGGAGAAGGAGAAGAAGGUGAGAGAGGCGAUCUGCGAUUGUGUUUCUUUUUCUUGUUUUGGAUCUGCGAUUGGAAGGGGAUUUGAAUGAAGGGGCAAGAAAGGAUCUACCUUUGGCUGCAAUUCGAUGAAUAGAAGUGACUGAAGGUGGUGG
Molecule: long non-coding RNA, 417 nt
Filed under: Lotus japonicus
Lineage: Eukaryota; Viridiplantae; Streptophyta; Magnoliopsida; Fabales; Fabaceae
Description: long non-coding RNA (LJAP_LNC001803)
Source: RNAcentral